GAUGAAGAACGUAGCAAAAUGCGAUAAGUAAUGUGAAUUGCAGAAUUCAGUGAAUCAUCGAAUCUUUGAACGCACAUUGCGCCCGCCAGUAUUCUGGCGGGCAUGCCUGUUCGAGCGUCAUUUCAACCCUCAAGCACAGCUUGGUGUUGGGACUCGCGUUAAUUCGCGUUCCUCAAAUUGAUUGGCGGUCACGUCGAGCUUCCAUAGCGUAGUAGUAAAACCCUCGUUACUGGCAAUCGUCGCGGCCACGCCGUUAAACCCCAACUUCUGAAUGUUGACCUCGGAUCAGGUAGGAAUACCCGCUGAACUUAAGCAUAUCAAUAAGCGGAGGA
Molecule: unclassified non-coding RNA, 332 nt
Filed under: soil metagenome
Description: partial contains 5.8S ribosomal RNA, internal transcribed spacer 2, and large subunit ribosomal RNA
Rfam family: 5.8S ribosomal RNA (bases 1-120)
Source: RNAcentral